UGGCAAGUGUGUAUGUGGCGGCGCGUAAUCGGUUUCGUCCGACGUGUUCGGUGACCUAAACGAGCUAUUGGCAGUCUUGCUUUACCAAUGAGUAUAGAACAGCUGGAACUGAGUGAAGAAUACUGUAGCUUCGUAUCAGAAGAACGUUGGGAAUUAGUCAUGGGUUUUUAAGCCGAAAAUGGCGUACAUAGGUCUAAUAGCAGAAGCAUGACGUCCUGGAUUUUGGUUUCCCAUUCGUGAGGUAGAGGUUGAUCGAAUGCUCUCGAUGUAACAGUCAGGUCGGCCAAGAUGGUUACGGGGUCGAAGGGACGUUUAAACGGACCCAGGACCCAGAAACGGACCCAACUUAUUUCAAGUUUCUAUAGGUUUUCCGGACAGCUGUCAAAAAGAGACAAGCCUCCUCUCAGGAUAAACACCGACCGAUCCCCAAGGCUAAGAAAAAAUACCGCCCAGCAGAGAGGAGAACCUUAAACG
Molecule: long non-coding RNA, 474 nt
Organism: Macrobrachium nipponense
Lineage: Eukaryota; Metazoa; Arthropoda; Malacostraca; Decapoda; Palaemonidae
Exons: 3
Source: RefSeq, a predicted model, not a curated record